This 296-nucleotide ribosomal RNA is filed under the name uncultured bacterium. Its description in RNAcentral is "partial 16S ribosomal RNA". It matches the Rfam family "Bacterial small subunit ribosomal RNA", at positions 123 to 406 of the family's 1533-position model. The record is from RNAcentral.
GAUCUACCUUCGAGUGGGGGAUAACGUUCCGAAAGGAACGCUAAUACCGCAUGACGUUCUGGGUUUGAAGACCUAGAAACCAAAGCCGGGGACCGCAAGGCCUGGCGCUUGGAGAGGAGCCCGCGUCCGAUUAGCUAGUUGGCGUGGUAACGGCCCACCAAGGCGACGAUCGGUAGCCGGCCUGAGAGGGCGGACGGCCACACUGGAACUGAGACACGGUCCAGACUCCUACGGGAGGCAGCAGUGGGGAAUUGUUCACAAUGGGCGCAAGCCUGAUGACGCAACUCCGCGUGGGG